Non-coding RNA from Oncorhynchus mykiss (rainbow trout), 1157 nucleotides. Lineage: Eukaryota; Metazoa; Chordata; Actinopteri; Salmoniformes; Salmonidae. The record is from RefSeq and is a predicted model, not a curated record.
GAUUCUAUAGAAAGAAAAAGGAGAAAAAAAUAACAUGAUUGUUUAUUAUUAUUUAGGAAUAGGUGUUUUUCCUUGUUUUUAAUUGUUGACAGCCAGUAGACACCAUGUUUAUAUUGGUGAAGGUGAAGCAGUGUAGUUGAUUAUAAUGUGAAAUGGAAGUUGUUUUCUGUUGGUGGUGAGCAAACGUGUCCAACAAAAAUAUAGGAUAUGUUUGUUUUCUAAGGGGGAAGGUGAUACAGGCUUUGGUUUUUCCAUCUAUGUUUUGAGGUUGGACUUUAGCACGUCUAUCUCGUUAGCACGUAGGACGCACUGAUUGGUGUCACCUCGUUAGUCAGUAUGUGUUACACCUGUGCUGGCUUGUCCAUCUCGUUAGUGAGAAGGUUUUUCACCUGAGCUGGUCCAGGUUCUAUUUAAGAGUGUCUGGCCCAGUGCUCCAGUUGUCUUGAUAGAUGUGACAAAUCAACACCUUUAGUUGCACUACCGUUUUGGUUUGCUUCCUGUUUUUAAGUUUGUUGUGGGUUUUUCUUUUGUUUGCCUCUUCUUGGGCAGAUUUAGUGGGUCUCAUGGUGGGUGUCUUUUAGGUCCCAGUUGUUGUUACUAGUCAACUUUCAGUGGACACUGAGAGCAAAACUUCAACAUUAUGUUAUUAUACUUUUAUUUUAUAAAAUGGUUGUUUUAUGUAACAGAAUAGAGGGUUCUUAGAACUAUUGUGUCUGUGUGUUCUACUGAGGAUGGGCUUCUGGGAGGAAACACUGACAGGAGAUUUACAAUGUCUUUUGGGUGAUUAAAACCUAAAGAGACAGUAUUCCAGAUUAAGAGUUAAUGUUUCUGUUCUAUAUGGUACCAGGGAGAGAUGACCCCAGGGCCAGACAGCAGAUACUGUCUGCUGAGAAUUAUAAGUAUCUUUCAUACAAAUCUUAACCUUGUGACCCGUUGUAUACAUCUGUUGUUGGUCAUAUAGGUUGAAAUGGGUGUAUCUUAGCUAUAAAAGACCUUUGUACUUUUGUCUCGUGGCUCUCAACGAAUCAUCUGGGGGUGAUUUGUUGACCAGCCAAUAUUAUCGUAGAGCACUCAAUUGAUUCACUUUAUAUGUGUGUGUUGUAUUGACCUGCUCCCUUAUUAAUAAGUGAAUAAAGAUUUAGUUUAAUAAGAAUAAA